Molecule: long non-coding RNA, 471 nt
Filed under: Homo sapiens (human)
Lineage: Eukaryota; Metazoa; Chordata; Mammalia; Primates; Hominidae
Description: HSALNT0315379
Source: RNAcentral
AUAAAAGAGGCCCCAGAGAGUUCCAUCAUCCUUUCCAUCAUGUGACAACACAGUGAGAAAAUGGCUGCCUGUGAACCAGGAAGUAGGCCCUCAGCAGACAAGGAAUCUCCUAGCACCUUGAUCUUGGACUUCCCAGCCUCCAGAACUCUGAUGGACUGCUCACAAUUCCCUGAGGCAACGCUAUUAUAUCAAAAAUGAGGUUGUGAGAGCUAACUGAUUCAUUCAAAAUCAAGUUAAAGGCAGAGCUGGAAUUGAAGGAGUUGUUCUUAAGCAUUCUAAACGAAGUGAGAGUAGCUGUCUAUCUCCUGUAGUGCUAUGUAUUUCCAGUCAUCAUCCAGAACAACAAAAACUGUAUCUGGUUUGUAUUAGUUAGGAUUGAAGCUCAGUUGCGGUCACAAAGGGUUCAAACAAUACUGUGGUUCAAAGGAGUUUGUUUCUUACACUACAGUCCAGCAAGAAACAGGCAGGGCA